Canis lupus familiaris (dog) is the source of this 4513-nucleotide long non-coding RNA. RefSeq lists it as uncharacterized. The record is from RefSeq and is a predicted model, not a curated record. The transcript is spliced from 2 exons. Lineage: Eukaryota; Metazoa; Chordata; Mammalia; Carnivora; Canidae.
GGUAGGUGCAGAGUUAUUCUUUUAUCAUUCUUCUUUUGACAGCAUAUAUAACUAUCCAUAUACACUCCUGUGGAAGUGUGAUAUAUUUCACAAUAAGAAAGUUUAACAAUAAAAAGUCCAGUUUGGUCUCAGCAAAAGGAGCAAUGUCUUCUCAGCCAGCCUGAAUGGUGGCAAGGCAAUCCACUGCAAACGGAACUUCGGGUCUAGCGGCCCUUCCUCACCAGGAAAUUCACCAUGGUUCCAGACUUGGGAUUUCCAGAUUUUAUUUCCUUAUAGAUAAUCCUUACAUUUUCUUACAGUUGCUCUCUGGAAUUUUAUGUUUUGAGGAACCAAGGAUUGUGAGUUUUGAAAAAACAAAUACAAAGAGCAGAGUUCAGAUACUUCAGAUUUUAGCAAUAGCUAAUAAUAGUAAUACUUAUUAAGCAAUAAUUAUGAGUUAUGCUAAAAUGUUUUAUUUAUUUAUUUUUAAAGAUUUUAUUUAUUCAUUGACAGAGAGAGAGAGCACAAGCAGGGGGUACAGCAGACAGAGGGAGAGGGAGAAGCAGGCUCCCCGCUGACCAGGAAGCCUGACCAGGGGGAUUCACUUCCAGGACUGAGCCCCCCAGGCGCCCCUACUACAAUGUUUUACAUGCUUAUGUAUUUUAAUCUUUGCAACUAGUGUAUGAACUAGGUCUGCUAAUAGAUGAAAUUGAGGCUUAGGAAAUUUAAGUAACUUUUCCCAAAAUACAGGAAGUAUAUGGUAGAGGCUACAUCAAAUGUAGGUCUGUCUGUGUGAUCAUGGAGCCCAAAUUUAUCAUCAUACUAUGUAGAGUAGUCCUUAAAGAUACAAUAUUUUAAUGAUAAAUGGACUGAGACUGGGGCACCUGGCUGGCUCAGUUGGUAGAGCAUACGACUCUCGAUUUCAGAAUCAUGAGUUCAAGCCUCAUGUGGCUGUAGAGCCUACUUAAAAAAAAAAAAUGAAGAAAAAAAUUGACUGAGAUUGAGAGAAAUUUUACAUCUAAUGAAUCUUUAGCUUUUCUUUUUUUUAGAGAGGGCAGGAAGGGGCAGAGGGAGAGACAGAAUCUUAAGUAGGCUCAAUGCCCAGCACGGGGCCCAAUGUGGUUCUCGAUCUCGCAAUCCUGAGAUCAUGACCUGAGAUACAAUCAAGAGUCCGACACUUAACUGACCAACACUCAGGUGCCCAGAAACUUUAGUUUCAGGCCCCAAUUGCUUGCUUAAGUCCUUUUCAAGUCCCCUGGAAGGGCCCUCGCAACAUGCCUUAUAUGGCCUCCUGAUUUUGUAAAAUGUGAAGGCAUAAAUUAAAUUUUAUAUUCAUUUUCUUAAAGUAGGCUCCCCAAAUUGUGCAAGCUUAUGGCCUCACAAAACCUGAUCAUUCCCUGGCUGUUCCAGUCUUAUAGGAAUAAGCAAUCUGUCAGCUAGAACCAUCCUAACUCAUCCAGUUGUUACUCAUUCAAGGGUUUUUGCAUAGGUGUCCUGGCCAUUUGGAACUUAUAUUCCUAUCCUAUGAACACACUUGCGUGAUCACCUCCAUAACUCACUAGAAAAUGACUCUUUAAAGGCAGAUAACAUAGUUUUUUUUAGCCUGUAUUACCCUGACAUUGAACACACUAAGUCCUUAAUAAAUAUUUGUUAAAUGAAUAAAUGAACAUGAGAUUUGUAAAGCAUGAAAAUCCAUUUCCUUCCCAUAGUACUAAUGACUAAAAAUCCAUACGUAGAGGGUUUGGCUUUCUGUAGAGCAGUAAGAUUCUGGAGCUGUCUUCAUUUAGCAGAUCAGAAGUUGCAGAUUUGAAUUUAAGAAGGUCUGUUUCUGAUGGCAGGACUGGAAGUAGCGAGCGGAGUAGGAGAGGUUCUGGGAGAACCUGAGUUCAUACUUGGAUAUAUAAACAUAGAAGAGAUUGGGUUGACCCAAUGCUUCUUCAACACUCUGGUUACUCUACCAUAGAUUUGGGGUUUCACAUUAGUACGAGGCUAAACUACAUUCUCCAUGGAGUUGUCUUACACCUGUCCCCUGUACAGUGGGAUGGUAUGGGGGUGUUUUAUGUAAGAAAGAGCCUGGCACAGAGGAAUCAGGAAUUAAUACCUGUCCCUCAUCUGAAAACAUCUAAGUGGGAAGACGCAUGGCAAAGGGAACUAUGAUAGCAGAGUGACUAGAGUUGCUGUGAUGGUUGAUCUUAGGCCACAGGAUCCCCAGACAUCUGGUCACAUAUUAUUCUGGGUAUGUCUAUGAGGGUGUUUCUGGGUGAGAUUAACAUUUCCUGUUUUUUUUUUUUUUUUUUUUUUUUAAAUAAUCUGCACGCUCAACCUGGAGCUCAAAGUCACAACCCCAAGAUCAAGAGUUGUAUGUUCCACCAACUGAGCCAGAUAGGCACCCCAAGAUUAACACUUCUAACUGGAGACAGGAAAGCAGAGUCUUCUCUGAAGUGGGUGGGCUCCAAUCAGUCAGCUGAGGGCCUGAAAAGAGCAAAAAAAGGCUGGCCCUCCCCCAGUUAAGGGGGAAUUUCUCUUGCUGACUGCCUUUGAGCUGGGAAUUUUGCUUUUUACUGACUUAAGACUCAGGAUUGAAACACUGAAUUGGAACACUAAUUCUUCCUGGGUUUCCAGCCGACUGACCUUCAGAAUAGAGCUACACCAUCAGCUCUCCUGAGCCUCCAGCUUGUUGACUGCAAAUCUUGGAAUUUGUCAGCCUGUGUAAUCAUGUGAACCAAUUCCUCAUAAUAGAUUUCAUUAUGUAUCUAUGUCUGUCUUGAAAUCUCUGUAUCCUAUAAGUUCUGUUCCUCUGGAGAACCCUGAUUAAUAGAGCUGGAAAUAAGGGUCUGAAGGGGCAAACAUACAAGUUUCCUAUGGUCUGUGUGUGGAUUACAUAAAAAAGGACUGGGUUUUGGUCAUCUUAAAAGAAGCUCCACCAAAACAGUCUUUCUAAAGGGUGGUGGUGGACCAUCUAAAGCUUCAAGCUGAGAUGCAAUAUCUGGAGUGGCAAGUGGUGGAGAAAGCCAUAGUCAACCUAAAAUCAUAUUUUAUGAAAGGAAACUGGAGUUUAGGGAUCCUCGGAUGUGGGAACUCAAAGAGUCUACUGCACCAGCUGGAGAACAGUACUUGUGUCCUCUAAUCUACCUCCUCCACUGAUAGGAUCAUAGAAUAGCCACAAGAAGCACUUAGAAAGUAUAGAAAGAGAUAGAUCUAGAAAGAAAGAAUAUCCCUCUGUCUCCUCCCUGCCUCCCUGCCACACAAACCUACCCUGGCCUUUCCCAUUUGGGGCUUGCAAGCUUGAAUCAGGCCGGAGGAUGAAGAAAGUGGGGGGCAGGGGUCAGGAAGAGAAACUUCAAAUCAAAUGAGAGUAUAAAGUUUUAACAUUAGAUAAUCCUGAGUCUUAUUUAUUUAUUUAUUUAUUUAUUUGUAAAAGAUUUUAUUUAUCUAUUCAUGAGAGACACAGAGAGAGAGGCAGAGACACAGGCGAAGGGAAAAGCCGGCUCCCUGUGUGGGGAGCCUGAUGAGGGACUUGGUCCCGGGAGGCAGACGUGUAACCACUGAGCCACCCAGGUGCCCCAAUCCUGAGCUUUUUAAUACCUGAAUAUGACCAGAAAAACUAGGACCCCUGCCUGAGAUGGAGGAGAAUCAUUUGACGGAGGAAGUUUGAAAGAGCGGUGGAGAUAGAGUUGUUUUCUUUUGCUCUUUGCUCUUGACUGAGUUUAGCGUAUUUGAUUGACCAGUUGUACGAGGUUAGCAAAGAAAGAAAUUUUUGGUGUGCCGAUUUGUAAAACUUCCUGUGACUACCAUUACUAUUUUAUUUCAAAAAGUCUAGUGGAGCCCUAAGAGUGCCCUUGAUUUAAGCCCCAGGAGAUUUGCUUUCCCUUUUUCUUUCCCGCCAAAGGCCAACAAACUCAUUUCCUGAACCAAUUGGAUGAUUCAAAAUUUCUCAUCUCCAAAGUAUAGCCUUAAAAUCCUUUAAGCAGAAAUUGAAUAUUGUAGCUUUAUAUGUAUCAUUGUAAUAAUAUAAGCAUCAAAAUGACACCAAGACUUAAUGAGCCAACAAGGUCUGUGAUUAAUUCAGGAAGGUAGGAGUCUGUUGAAGAGGAGGGGGCGGUUCCUGCCAGGAAUCUUAAAUGCUUUUUGUCAAGGGAAGAUACAUCCUCAUGAGGUGCAGAUCAUGUAGCUGCAGGGCUAUGGCUUUCAAACACUGCCCCUAUUUCCAGGAAACAAUACAUUUGCCUUGGGUAUUCAUAACAACCUCUCAGUGUUUAGCAACUCGCUGCUUUUUGCCAGGCAGCAAAGUUCUCUGCUAAAAUGUUGUCAGAUCAUCAACCCACAAGCUCUAAACCACCAACCCACUAGCUUUGUUCUUCACUAAUUUUCUUUUAAUGCCUGUUUGUUUGUCCGGGAGGUAGGGGAACAGGGAGCUAUUUUGAUGAUUUAUGGCAUUUGCUUGAUCUCCAAGAUUUGAUUUGUUUAAACAUGGAGUCUGGUAUUCAGAAGGCACUUGAGAAGUUUGCAAAUAAAUGAAUAUCUUUCACUGAAA